UUCUGACCGUAAACGAUGCCAACUAGCGAUCCGUCGGUGGCUCCAAGGCCCUGAUGGGGAGCUUCCCGGAAACGAAAGUCUUCCGGUUCCGGGGGAAGUAUGGUUGCAAAGCUGAAACUUAAAGGAAUUGACGGAAGGGCACCACCAGGAGUGGAGCCUGCGGCUUAAUUUGACUCAACACGGGAAAACUCACCCGGCCCGGACACCGUGAGGAUUGACAGAUUGAUAGCUUUUUCAUGAUUCGGUGGUUGGUGGUGCAUGGCCGUUCUUAGUUCGUGGAUCGAUUUGUCUGGUUUAUUCCGAUAACGAGCGAGACUCCAGCCUACUAAAUAGUGCGGGAAUUGCCACUGUUCCCUUGCACUUCUUAGAGGGAUUGGCUGCGUCUAGCGGCACGAAACGGAGCAAUAACAGGUCUGUGAUGCCCUUAGAUGUCCGGGGCUGCACGCGCGCUACACUGGCAAAGGCAGCGUGCUUGUCCGUCUCCGAAAGGAGUCGGUAAACCCUUGAAAAUUUGCCGUGAUUGGGAUCGGAAAUUGCAAUUAUUUUCCGUGAACGAGGAAUUCCUAGUAAGUGCGAGUCAUCAGCUCGCGUUGA
RNAcentral lists this ribosomal RNA (594 nucleotides) under Criconemoides informis. Its description in RNAcentral is "SSU rRNA". It matches the Rfam family "Eukaryotic small subunit ribosomal RNA", at positions 1024 to 1644 of the family's 1831-position model. The record is from RNAcentral. Lineage: Eukaryota; Metazoa; Nematoda; Chromadorea; Rhabditida; Criconematidae.